CAGCCAAAUCAAAAGAAAUGAUGUCCGAACCAGAAGUAUGAUAAAUAUCAUUAGCCCAAAGAAGAUUCCCAUUCACAAACAUACCCGACUUAGUACAUAUCUUCCCAGUCUCAAAAUCAUCUAUACUUGUGCACGAGUUACUAUUUAGACUAUACAUUUUAACCUUAACAAGAAAUGAAUAGGCAUAACCCUCGUUAUGGAACCCAACCACUACCUUAUAAUCACGAUGAACCUCAUCAAAUCCAAAACCAUACAUGGAAUGGCAACCAGAACACCAUUUAUCUCUACAAUCAGGCAAUUUCUUGAACUUCCUAAUUGAUGGAUUCCAUAUAAACAAAUAUCUUUUUUGCAAUAACAAGACAAAUCAAUCCAUUCACAGAACCCACAAUCUCAACAGAUCUACGGGAUUUUAUCCUAGGAUACUCCAAGUUCAAUGCCUCAGUAACUGAGCCAUUAAUUAAAGAACUAACAGAACAAUCCUUAAGAUUGUACUUAGGUUGAUUAAAACUCAGCAUAAGCCUAUGGUGAGUUAAAUCCUCGUUAUUAGCAGAUUUACUGAGAUGGGUGUUGAUAAAUUCAGGUGUAGACAUUAAAUCAAG
This 599-nucleotide long non-coding RNA is filed under the name Solanum tuberosum (potato). Its description in RNAcentral is "long non-coding RNA (STUB_LNC003806)". Lineage: Eukaryota; Viridiplantae; Streptophyta; Magnoliopsida; Solanales; Solanaceae. The record is from RNAcentral.